UACGGGGGGGGCAAGCGUUGUUCGGAAUUACUGGGCGUAAAGGGCUCGUAGGCGGCCAACUAAGUCAUACGUGAAAUCCCUCGGCUUAACCGGGGAACUGCGUCUGAUACUGGAUGGCUUGAGUUCGGGAGAGGGAUGCGGAAUUCCAGGUGUAGCGGUGAAAUGCGCAGAUAUCAGGAGGAACACCGAUGGCGAAGGCAGGUCUCUGGGCCAUUACUGACACUGAGAAGCGAAAGCAUGGGGAGCGAACAGG
This 253-nucleotide ribosomal RNA is filed under the name uncultured bacterium. Its description in RNAcentral is "partial 16S ribosomal RNA". It matches the Rfam family "Bacterial small subunit ribosomal RNA", at positions 524 to 776 of the family's 1533-position model. The record is from RNAcentral.